RNAcentral lists this long non-coding RNA (5235 nucleotides) under Nicotiana tabacum (common tobacco). Its description in RNAcentral is "long non-coding RNA (NTAB_LNC000826)". The record is from RNAcentral. Lineage: Eukaryota; Viridiplantae; Streptophyta; Magnoliopsida; Solanales; Solanaceae.
AAACCUAAUCAGACCUAGACCUAAACCCUAAGAUAGAGACCUAAGAAUAAGAAAAAGCUCCCUUCUUGAAAAAUCAAAAGCGGCAGAUCUCAGCCAAAAGCAAGGAGACCCUCCAUGUCAUCGUCUUCUUCGACAAGGAGCCCAAAACAACGACCCCUUUAGCCAGCCAUCAGACCCCUAAGAUCCGUCGUUACACCCAAACACCCCCUAUCGAUUCCUCAUCUUCUCCAUUAAAAACAAUAACCAUCGCUCACACUCUCCUCCUCUCCAAGGCGUCAUUGUUCCUGGCCAAACGACCCUCACCUCGCCGGAAAACACCCCUAUCAAAGACCACCAGACCUCACGCCAACAUCAACAACACAGUCACAUAGAUCAAGGGGAAAAAACCAUCCUAUCAGCUCUCAUCUUCUUCAGCACUAACACACACACACACCCAUGAGACAAGAUCUCAGAUCAUCUUCUUAACAAAAUACCCCUAAAAAAUCUAGAGCCAUCAGAACAAACGGAGGAGCAGCCAUCUUCAACUCCACCUUAGAGAACAGAAAAAAUGAGAGGACGGACAGAGGUAGCUAGAGAGGGGAACGACCAAUUUUCAGUCUAAAACAGGGAGAACUUUAGAAGUAUGAUCCAUCUCUCUCUCUCUCUCCNAUCNNCNCNCUCNNNNNNNNNNNNNNNNNNNNNNNNNCAAUUUCAUGACUUCAAACAAGGAUGACUUAGUAGUAUGUCAUCUCUCUCUCUCUCUCUCUCUCUCUCUCUCUCUCUCUCUCUCUCUCUCUCAUUUUUCCUUCUUUUUGCUCUUUUGAACAAUGAAAAAUACACAUGAAAGAUUUUUCUUUAUUUGAACAUUAGAUCGUGAUUAAAUUUUCAGAAAACUAAACAAAGGAUUCUGUUUCUUCCGAUUCUAAUUUCAAAUUUUGAUUUCUGAAAUAAUGGAGAGUGUUUGAGGCAGUGGGAGUCCAAGGUUGAGCAUUCUGGGUUCCGGUCAUGGUUCUCGUUACUGUCCAGUUUUCCGUUAAGUUCGAAACUGGAGUUCUAAUCUGGUCAUGAAUUAAUCCUACAAGGCCACUGCUUAAUCUCAUUUUCACGUUUUCGCUUUUACUUCGUGAGCUUACGCAGAGGUUCAUUUCGUUGCCUUUUACACAAUUAUUCAAAUAUUUUGAAUAAGUUGUUUGUUUAAUUUUGUUUGAUGUGUUGUAAUUAUUCUGUUCUCAGCUGCUAGUCUGAUUUGCUUAUUUCACUUUGUUUGAAAUUAGUUUGCAAUCUCUAAGAAUGCUGAGGUAUGCUAUUCUACAGAUUAAUGCUUGUCCAUUGAAGUUAGAUUAGGAAGAGUAAUGUAAAUGGGUCGUGGGGGUGGACAACAAGAAUGGAAAAUUGUAUUUAUCAUUUUAAUUGUUUUACUUUACUUGCCUAUAUUCGCUAGGAGUAUGCUAGGCCAUCCACACUCGGGUAGGCAAUUUUUUUUUUGGAUUUUUGACAUUUGCGCGACAUAAUUACGGGUUCCAAAAAUUAAGACCAAAGUAUGUGUUUGCGCAACUUUGGGACAAACAAUCUCAAUAAUAAUAAAAUAUUAUUAAUUGUGUACACGUUCGUGUGACACGAUUACGAUUUUAAAAAUGAACACUCGUAGUUUGCUUUAGGCUUGACUUAGACUAUUAUUGUGAUUAUGUAUACGUUCGCGUAACAUAAUUGCGAAUUUAAUUCUAAAAAUUAACUCGAGGGAUGCAUUCGCGCAACUUCAACCAAAAUUUUCUUAAUAAAUAAAAAAAGCAUUAUUAAUUGUAGACACAUUCGCGUGACAUGAUUUUUGACGCGCCAAAAGAAAAAAGUAUACGUACGCGUAACUCAAUUUUUUUUUAAAUUACGAAUAAAUCAAGUGAUUAAAAGCAGUAAAAGGUAAAUGCACAUAAGUUUUAAAAUAAGUAAUUAGACCAUUUAAGCCAAUUAUAAAUUGCUAAGCGAUAGUUCUAAAACCACGGAACCUGGGAAUGCCUAACACCUUCUCCCGGGUUAACAGAAUUCCUUACUUAGAAUUUCUGGUUUGCAGACUUUUAAAUAAAGUCGAUUUUCCUCGAUUUGGGAUUUUAAAAUGAACUGGUGACUUGGGACACCAUAAAUUAUUCCAAGUGGUGAGUUUGAUAAAUUAAUUAAUCCCAUUUCGAUUAAUGUCACUUUAAUUGGAAAAACUAAUAUAUACCCUCGGGUGUAAAAAGGAGGUGUAAAAAAAGUACAGUGGAGAGGUUGGCCCAUGGAGGAGGCCACUUGGGAGACCAAGCGGGAGAUGCGGAGCAGAUAUCCUCACCUGUUUGAGACUACAGGUAUGUUUCUUGACUCGUUCGAGGACGAACGUUUGUUUAAGAGGGGGAGGAUGUGACGACCCGGCCAGUCGUCUCAUGAGUUACCGCUCUGUUUCCCCCAUUUCUUCUUCUUAUUGCUUUGUUUAUCGGUUCUAUAUGUGAUCGGGUUGGUUGGCUCGGGUUCUGAAAUGUUUUGGUAAGGUUUGAGACACUUCGUCUCUUUUGAGAAAGCUUAAGUUGGAAAAGUCAACCAGAUGUUGACUUAUGUGUUAAAGGGAUCGGAUGUGAAUCCGAUGGUUCGGAUAUCUUCGGGAGGUGAUAUAGGACUUAGUAGCGNNNNNNNNNNNNNNNNNNNNNNNNNCGGUUGAUAGGUGGGAUUUUGAUAUAGUGGUCGGAAUAGAACUUCGGGAGUUGCAGUAGUUCCGUUGUCUCAUUUGAGAUGUGUUUGCAAAAUUUCAUGUCAUUCGGACGUGGUUUGGUAGACUUUUUUAUCAAAAGCGUAAUUUAGAAGAUUUUAGAAUUCUUAGGCUUGAAUCCGAUGUGAAUUUGGUGUUUUGAUGUUGUUUUGAGCGUUCCGAAGAUUGAAACAAGUUUGAAUGAUGUUAUGGGAUAUGUUGGCAUGUUUGGUUGAGGUCCCAGGGGCCUCGGGUGAGUUUUGGGUGGUUAAGCGAACCAUUUCAUGUUGUGAAAGUUGCAGAAACUGUUGUGUGUGUGUUGCAGACAUUUAGCCUUCGCGUUCGCGAGUAGAGCCUCGCGUUCGCAAAGGGUUAGCAGGUGAGGCUGAAGAUUUGGCCUUCGCGUUUGCGAUGGAGGUCCCGCGUUCGCGAAGUGAUGGGCCAUUGAGCUACGCGUUCGUGAGAAGGGGAGUCGCGUUCGCGAUGGAGCCCAGAAGCAUCGGGUUCUCGAGAGGUCAGACGCAUUCGCGAAGGAGGAAAUGUAGUCAACGUCAGUUUGUGCUUCGCGAACGCGAGGCUUUGACCGCGUUCCCGAAGAAGAUUUUUAAUGCCUGGGCAGAAUGUUUAAAUAGCCAUUGUCUGCAAUUUUGGGGCUAACUUCCACCAUUUUUGGGCGAUUUUGAAGCUUUUUGAAGAGGAUUGAAGAGGGAUUCAAGGGGGAACACUUGGAGGUAAGAUUUAUGGACUUAAUACUCGAUCCUAAUGUGAAUUCUACCUAAUUAAUCAUGGAAUUUAAGCUUAAUAUUGAAGAACUAGGGCUUGAAAUUGUAGACCUAGAAUUUGGGAUUUAAGGGGUCGUUUGUGGUUGGAUUUUGAUACUUUUGAUAUAAAUGAACUCGGGGAGUGAUAUGGAGCCUAUUGGUGUAAAUUUUAUCGGAAUCCGAGACGUGGGCCUGGGGGGGUCGGGUUUGGCCAGUUUCGGGAUUUGUGUUGUAAUUUGAUUUUUUUCGAGUGGGCUUUUUUCCCUUAACAUAUUUUGAUGGUUUUGCACUAAUUUUGGUUAGAUUUGGAGCAUCCGGAGGCCGAUUUGAGAGGCAAAGACAUCGUGGGCUAGAGUUUGGACCGAAUUAAGGUGAGUAAUGACUGUAAAUGUUAUCCUAAGGGUAUGAAACCCCGGAUUUCACAUCGUUGUGCUAUAUUGAGGUGACGCACACGCUAGAUGACGAGCGUGAGGUCGUGCACCGUUGGGGAUUGUGACUUAGUCCAUCCCGAAUGACUGUUUUACCGCGUAUUUGAUUGAAAACUGUUUGCUAUCAUCAUGUUUUGGGCUAAAUGCCAUAUUUGGGCCUCGUGCCAACUAUUUGGACCCUUAGGGGAUUUUUACUAAUAUUUCCUCACUAUUUUGGCUUUAUACUUGUACUCAGUCAUGCUAUAUUCUACUGUUUUCAUAACUCAGUCAUCUUUCCUCUAUUUUAACACAUUAAAUGAUAUUCUAAAUGAUAAUUUGAGUUGAGCAUCAUGUUUUACUGUUGCCCGAGUGGCUUAUGAGAUUCUGACUGAGUAAGGCCGAGGGUCUGUGUUGUGCAGAUACACUGAUUUAUGAUUAUGAGACCGAGGGCCUGAGAUUGUACGACAUGAGGUGGCUUGUUGAUAUGAGGACGAGAGCCUAUUGAUUAUGCCACAAGAUGGCUUGAUAUAGCGCUUGGGCCGUAAGGGGCCCCUCCUGAAGUCUGUACACCCCCAGUGAGUGCGAGUACCCAUUGUGAUAUGAGAUAUAGCCCGAUGGGCUGGUGUUGUUCCAUGAUAUUGCCCGAGGGGCAGAUUCUGUUGACAUUGUGCUCGAGGGGCGGAUUUUACGUGUUUAUCUGUUCUAGCCGCUUUUCGUUUAAUUGUUUAACUGUUAAAAAGGUGUUUUAAAGAAGCUUCUUCUAAACCAAAGUGUCUUUAUAUAUUUUCACUGUUUCAUCGAUUUUACUGGUUUUAUACUGCUUCUUUAUAGCAUGUUGAUGUGAUUUUACAUGAUUUCUUAUCGCUCAGUCUUCAUUUAUUAUUAUUACUCACUGAGUUGGAGUACUCACUUUACUUCCUGCACCCUGUGUGCAGAUUCAGGCGAUUCGGGUCCCGCUAGUAAGUGUUGACUUCUUUCAGCUCAGGCGGAUUCGGAGAUUCACUAGGUUGCUGCUCGGCGUCCGCAGCCCAGUGCUUCUCCCCCUAUCUUAUUUACUCUGCUUUAGUUCUGUAAUAGACUAUGUAGACUUUUCAUGUCUUUAUUCGGAUAGUAGAUGCUCAUGACUGGUGACACCCCGAUGUCGGGCUAUGUCUAUUCCGCAAACUGUAUUAUUCACCUUUAUUUUGGGAUUAUUAUCAUGUUAAAGACUUAAUUUGUAUUAUCAUAAUUGCUUAAAAUGAAUUGGGUAUGUAUCGGCUGGCCUUGUCUUCACGAGAAGCGCCAUCACGAUCGGGUCCGGGUUUAGGAUCGUGACAGACAAUAAACCUACAAAUCAUUUUUAACACUUUAAUGGAUAAUGACAAAUUUUCUCUUGCUA